GACGAACGCUGGCGGCGUGCUUAACACAUGCAAGUCGAACGGAAAGGCCCUGCUUUUGUGGGGUGCUCGAGUGGCGAACGGGUGAGUAACACGUGAGUAACCUGCCCUUGACUUUGGGAUAACUUCAGGAAACUGGGGCUAAUACCGGAUAGGAGCUCCUGCUGCAUGGUGGGGGUUGGAAAGUUUCGGCGGUUGGGGAUGGACUCGCGGCUUAUCAGCUUGUUGGUGGGGUAGUGGCUUACCAAGGCUUUGACGGGUAGCCGGCAUGAGAGGGUGACCGGCCACAUUGGGACUGAGAUACGGCCCAGACUCCUACGGGAGGCAGCAGUGGGGAAUAUUGCACAAUGGGCGGAAGCCUGAUGCAGCAACGCAGCGUGCGGGAUGACGGCCUUCGGGUUGUAAACCGCUUUCGCCUGUGACGAAGCGUGAGUGACGGUAAUGGGUAAAGAAGCACCGGCUAACUACGUG
RNAcentral lists this ribosomal RNA (468 nucleotides) under uncultured bacterium. Its description in RNAcentral is "partial 16S ribosomal RNA". It matches the Rfam family "Bacterial small subunit ribosomal RNA", at positions 28 to 507 of the family's 1533-position model. The record is from RNAcentral.